This 468-nucleotide ribosomal RNA is filed under the name uncultured bacterium. RNAcentral's name for it is "partial 16S ribosomal RNA". It matches the Rfam family "Bacterial small subunit ribosomal RNA", at positions 28 to 507 of the family's 1533-position model. The record is from RNAcentral.
GACGAACGCUGGCGGCGUGCUUAACACAUGCAAGUCGAACGGAAAGGCCCUGCUUUUGUGGGGUGCUCGAGUGGCGAACGGGUGAGUAACACGUGAGUAACCUGCCCUUGACUUUGGGAUAACUUCAGGAAACUGGGGCUAAUACCGGAUAGGAGCUCCUGCUGCAUGGUGGGGGUUGGAAAGUUUCGGCGGUUGGGGAUGGACUCGCGGCUUAUCAGCUUGUUGGUGGGGUAGUGGCUUACCAAGGCUUUGACGGGUAGCCGGCCUGAGAGGGUGACCGGACACAUUGGGACUGAGAUACGGCCCAGACUCCUACGGGAGGCAGCAGUGGGGAAUAUUGCACAAUGGGCGGAAGCAUGAUGCAGCAACGCAGCGUGCGGGAUGACGGCCUUCGGGUUGUAAACCGCUUUCGCCUGUGACGAAGCGUGAGUGACGGUAAUGGGUAAAGAAGCACCGGCUAACUACGUG